RNAcentral lists this microRNA precursor (83 nucleotides) under Nomascus leucogenys (northern white-cheeked gibbon). RNAcentral's name for it is "mir-3156 microRNA precursor family". It matches the Rfam family "mir-3156 microRNA precursor family". Lineage: Eukaryota; Metazoa; Chordata; Mammalia; Primates; Hylobatidae. The record is from Rfam by way of RNAcentral.
UGCAGAAGAAAGAUCUUGAAGUGAGAGACACUUUCACUAUAUAUAUAUAUAGUGGCUCCCACUUCCAGGUCUUUCUCUCUGUG